This 492-nucleotide ribosomal RNA is filed under the name uncultured bacterium. RNAcentral's name for it is "partial 16S ribosomal RNA". It matches the Rfam family "Bacterial small subunit ribosomal RNA", at positions 29 to 507 of the family's 1533-position model. The record is from RNAcentral.
AGUGAACGCUGGCGGUAGGCCUAACACAUGCAAGUCGAACGGCAGCACAGUAAGAGCUUGCUCUUACGGGUGGCGAGUGGCGGACGGGUGAGGAAUACAUCGGAAUCUACUUUUUCGUGGGGGAUAACGUAGGGAAACUUACGCUAAUACCGCAUACGACCUACGGGUGAAAGCAGGGGAUCUUCGGACCCUGCGCGAUUGAAUGAGCCGAUGUCGGAUUAGCUAGUUGGCGGGGUAAAGGCCCACCAAGGCGACGAUCCGUAGCUGGUCUGAGAGGAUGAUCCGCCACACUGGGACUUGGGCACGGUCCAGAAUCCUACGGGAGGCAGGCGUGGGGAAUAUUUGACCAUUGGGCGCAACCUGACCCAGCCAUACCGCGUGGGUGAAGAAGGCCUUCGGGUUGUAAAGCCCUUUUGUUGGGAAAGAAAAGCAGCAGGUUAAUACCCCGCUGUUCUGACGGUACCCAAAGAAUAAGCACCGGCUAACUUCGUG